Molecule: transfer RNA, 74 nt
Filed under: Anguilla anguilla (European eel)
Lineage: Eukaryota; Metazoa; Chordata; Actinopteri; Anguilliformes; Anguillidae
Rfam family: tRNA
About the family: Transfer RNA (tRNA) molecules are approximately 80 nucleotides in length.
Source: Rfam by way of RNAcentral
GUUUCUGUAGUGUAGUGGUUAUCACGUUUGCCUAACACGUAAAAGGUCUUCGGGUUCGAAACCGAGCAGAAACA